Procambarus clarkii (red swamp crayfish) is the source of this 5599-nucleotide non-coding RNA. The record is from RefSeq and is a predicted model, not a curated record. NCBI's taxonomy places the organism in Eukaryota, Metazoa, Arthropoda, Malacostraca, Decapoda, Cambaridae.
UCCUGGACCAUUCUCAAGUCGAUUGUUCACAAUUGACCAUUCACAAUCGACUUGAGAAUGGUCCAGGAUGGACUGAAACAUCGACGUCCCUUCACUUUCUAGUGUGUGGUUUGGUCAACAGAUAAAAUAUAACUUUUGUCUAUAGCACAAGAGGUACAUGUUUUAUCUGUAUAUGUGGCAUCAAAAUACAACUUUUAUCAGGAGCACAUAAUAAACAGUUUCUGUCUGCAACAAGUAAAGAUCAGAUCUUAUACGAAUCAUUGAAGACAGUGAUAUAUCUUCAGCAUGUAAAAAGCAAACUGCGUUCAAUCAGUUCUUACAACAUGCAAGACCCACACUUUGUCUACAGUAUAUGAAAACCAGGUUCUGUCUGCAGCUGAUAAAAAUUUCUUUCCCCAGCAACCUCAGAUUUUGAAAAGCUCUCUGGAUUCCCACAAGUAAUGUCUAAGCUCGCUUAUCCGGAUGGGAUGAACCCCUCGCUGGACAAGCCAAACAUCUGGAUAAGUAGAAUUCUUACUGGGAAGGUCCAAAAAUGACCAUAUUUGCAAUUUGUUGUACCACAACCAACACAAUUUGAAUUUCCACACACUAUAAAUCAAAAAUAUAAUUAAAAAAAAAGAGAAACUUCAGCUUACCUCGUAGUUUGUUUUUAUGUUUGAUAUUGUAGAUCUUGAAAUGUGUAGUUUAAAAUUUAUGUAACCUAACCUCCAGUUAUCUGGAUUUCUGUCCAGAUACGGUGAAGUUUUGGCAAAAAAUUAUCCAGAUUUUACUUAGAAUCUGUGCCAGCCUGGGCAAUCUAGCCAAACCUCCUGUUAUCCAGAUUACUAUCCGGAUAUUGCAAAGUUUUGUCAGAAAAUUAUCUGGAUAUGAUUUUGGCCGGAUGACCCAAAUAUCCGGAUAAGCGAGAUCAUACAGUAAUCUAAAGAAAUGAUCUAGUCUUCGACAUUAUAUGUCAAAAUUUCAUAACCCUUUCAAACAACAAAGAGAUCAUUGGAUUUGCAUCAGUUGCUGGCAAGGUCAUAUGGCCUUUAACAUGGUCUUGAAAAGAUCCUGAUGGCUUGUUAAGUCUUGUGCAUUGUGACUGUAGCUCAUCCAUUUCACUAUAGCUCAAGGGGUUUGUAAAACACUAUGCAAUGAUAUCAUGUUAUGCUUAUACAAUUUUGUAUCUUUUAUCUUUCAGAGAAAGUUCAUCAAAUAGGACAAAGUACUGUCUUGAGUGAAUAUAUAAACUUCUACAGUUUAUUGUCUUAGAAGGAAUCAGGAAAGUUAUUUUCUAGUUCAUAGGGAUACUAAAGUGAACAUAACACAUUAAGAAAAUAUAAAUUAAAAUGUUUAAGAUAUAACAGUUAUGUCUUCCCUAGAAAGGACUCCAACUUGAGUGUGCAAUUACACACAGUAUGAAGUGAUAAAAUUAAACUUAAGUAAUCCUUAAUUUAACAAUUUUUUGUAAUCACAUAUUUAUCAGUGGCACUUACAGUUGCAUGCCUAUCAGAGGCACUAAUAGCUAGAUGUCUAUUAGUAACCCUCAUAGUAAUAACAUCUAUUAGUGGCAUUUAAAGCAAGCAUAAACGAAAUUUAAAAGAAAAAGUAGAAGUUAAACUUAAAGUAAAUCAUUAUUUACACUACCGCUUAUUGUACUGUAUGCACAACUUAUUUUUCUUCAUGCUGAAGAUUCAUGCAAAUGAAAAUUCACACCAUAAAAAUUCAUGCAAAGACAGUACAUUCCCAGUUCUGUACUAUGGGGAUUUAACCCAUGGCCACCUUUAAGCAAAUGUCUCUUAAUGAUGUAUGCAAAUUCUUUAACCUGGAAAAAAGCACACUAACAAUACAGUCAAGGGUUAAUUAAAUGUGUGAGAGACUCUUUGAAGUCACGUUAGCAACAGCCCGAGGCUGAGACAGCUGUGCUUCAAUGUGUGAAAUAAGGUUGGAGUGGUGUAUUAGGAGAGGGGGUGGAUUUAAAUAGUACCCAUCUAGUAUGGGCCAACAGACUUGUUUAGAUGCUUCCCUAAUUCUUAUUUUUCUUCUUUAUUUACAGUAACAAGAUAUUAAAAUGUCAUUCAGAAUUAAGUUCAGCCAUUACAUUGUUUUAAAUAAUCUAUGCUCAAUUGGUUUUCUACAGUUUUGCCUGUUGUGAGGUCACAUCUUUGGAGGUCAGUCAUUAGCAUGGUGCAGUAGAUGAUGUACACAUCCCUCAGUCAGUCAGUUACACAUCUUUGUAUCUGGCCAGUAACUUGUUGGGUGUCUACACAGACAACCUCACUGUUGUGAAACUGUAUAUCAUUUGUCCACUCAUUAAUAUAUUGAAAUGUUGAAUGGUAAAAAUCUUCUUGGCAACACCAGAAUGUGUUGACACCAGUAUGUCUUAACCUACUGGUGUCUUAACACCAUAAGACACCAGUAUGUCUUAUGUUUUUGAAUAACAAAUUUAUCUUUGGUGGAGGGUGGAGUUUGAGUAGAUCACAUUACAAUAGACACAAACCAAUCAUACUAAGCUCCACCCCCUCAAGCAAUAGGCUUUGGUGAACAAAAGUACACAAAGAAAUAAUCUCAAAUUUCAUUUGGUUUGCAGAGAUUCUCUGUGAAGCCUUGUGUGCCUGCCAUGACCCUACUGUGCCAGUGCCAUAAGCUCAAGGAAGCUAUUAAUAUGCCAUCAAGAAAGGAGUGUCUCAUUACACUCUGAAGCUAUAUUUUUAUGGUGCAUUUCUUUGCAAAAUAGUAUGUAGAUCAGUAAAAGGUGAGUCAGUAUGGGAAGGCAUCUCCAAGUGAAACUGGGAGUGUAAUGAUCAAUGUAUAGUGGGUUUUGUGUUUAUCUGUUUCAGCCACAAUAUUACGAAUAUAUUCUUCAUGUGUCAUUACAACACAAUACACAAUUAUAUAUAAUAGAACCUUAGUAAAUUUUCUAGUAAUUAGCAUUAUUAUUACUAGGUACUUAACUAUGAACAAGGUGAGAGGUUGAGUAUGCUUUGAUUCAUUUAUUGACAAUUCGUAUAAGGUGAUCCGCCUGGACCAGACCCAACCAUAAUACUUUCUAAGGCUCAGUGACUCAGACUUAACUGCAUAAACAAGCUGAUUUCUUCUGUCAGUUACUUAGACUCUUAAAAUUGUAUAUACAGUAUGAUUUUUUCCCCAAAAAUUCCUUAUGCAACACUGUAAAACUUAUCUUCUGGCAUCUUCCACCUUAGCAAGUAGGCAAAAGUUAAUCUGUAGCUCAUGGGAUAAACUCCAGAUAAUGGCCAAAUCAAUUUAUUUUGAUGUGCAUAAUUACUAAAUUUAAAGCUCUGCUAAGCAAGCUAAUGUUUAAUUUGUACACUAAUUGAAUGAUACAAAUUUUAUAAACAAUUCCAAAAGUUCUGUUAUUAAGUGUUCUAUAAUAAAUGACAUACUGCAAUCCUCAGAUGUGCAUAUACAUAAUAACAUCCUUAACCAUAUGCACUUGCACACUCAGUAAGGAGACCCCUAACUGUGAACACUAAUAUUUCUUCCUGUCUAUCUUAAGGUUUGUGUUUUAGUAGUAUAAUAAUUAGACCAUGCUGUAGUUUUAGCAGUGGAAAAUUUGCUAAUAUUCUUAUUUGCUAUCUUUUGGAUUUUCAGCUGCUAUAAAGGUGUGUUUGGUAUAAACGCAACUAUCCAGAUAAAUUGCAUUGCUCAUGAACAGCUACUCGCCUAGGCCGAGUAUAUAGUUACUGUGUAAGGAUCUGCCAAAAGUUACCCAUUUCAUAGUGUUGGUUUAAAAUAUGGCAGUGCAGUCUUAAGCCUAGGUUCAGCAAUUUGCAGUGUCUUAGCAGAACUAAGCAUGAUUUAGAUACAAAAUUAGGCUUGCCAUCUUUACAGUGACAGAGCUAGCUUAGUGUUGUAUAGUUUCUGGAUUGUACUAGGCAGCUGCUGCUCUAGUCUCCAGUGAUCGUGGAAAACAACUGUUGUAGAAUGCACAAUGGUAGCUUCAUCUGAGUGAUGCCAAAUCAUGUAUAUCUUAAAGAGUAUAUUUUUGUAGACAUUAUGGCAAUAAGACAGAGAUCCAUAGCCCAGACUUGCAUUAUUUUGGGAUAUUGUGCUGUCCUCAGUUGCAAGUCUGUUACUCGGUAUAAAAUUGUAUAUUAAAUUAAAACUGUUACGCCAAGUCCUAUUGGUUAUUUUUGGUAUCAGCUGUUAUAUUAUAUUUUAUGCAGAAUACUAUGGUGUGUUUUCUGUAUGUUGAUCAUGUCUGUGGUUGCAUGAAUGCGUACAAGGUGUGAUCAGAAUUAUCCUGGACUGAUUAUAUUAAAUAUUGUUUUAACACUAUGGGAUGUAAACUUUAAGUUUUGGCCAAAAUGCUGUGUGUAUUUGUGACAUUGAGUGAAUGCACCUAACCUAAUACUUUUAUCCAUAUAAAUUAUACUGUACCUUUCUAUUGUACUAAUAUGAUUGUACUGUAUUGUAUGCAACAAAAUUUUUAUAAAAAUAUAAUUUAUUUUUUUUCAUAGUAAAAUAUUAGUAGUAUCAAUGUAACCGAUAAACACAGUAUCUGAACAUGCCAUAAUCGUAACUGCAUUAGAACUAUCUAAUAUACUCCACUCGAGAGUACUGUAACUAAAUUGUAAUUACUGUAUUUUCUAUAUCAGUACUUUACUAUGAGACACCAAAUGUAUGGUGAGAUAUUACAGUUUGCUUUUACCUGAAUUUUACAAAUCUGUUACCGAUUUCACAAAAUAUUUCUAUUCCAGGAAUGUUUUACUUGUACCCUAUAUAUCGUGCAGAUCAAGAAUUUAAUUACAUAUGAUGCUUAAACACUGUCCUCUAUAUACAUACAGUAUUUUUAUUAAAUUACAUUUACUUAAUACAGUAAUGUUGUAUGAGAUACUAAACAAGUGUUAGGUACUUUUUGUGGAAUAUGUUUAGAAACAUUGAAAUUCUGGAAUUAUGUACCAGCAUUUGGAAAGAGUAUACAGUUAAUAGGGGAAUAUUAAUCAUUUCCUUGUGUUGUGUUAGUAUACAUCUUUUCUUUGAAAUUCUUUGAAAUGAGUGAAUACUGAUAAUAUGGCUUCUAAAGCCAUAUUAUCAGUAUUCACUUUUUCUUUUCUUAGAAAUUGUUGGCAUAUGUCCUCUUUAGGAAAACGUGUCAUUCAAAUUAUGUACUGUGACAGGAAACUUGUUAAACUUAUUUUUUAUAUAAUUUUGUACAUUAUUAAAAACUUUGGUGUUUAUGAAAUCUUUCUCAAUUUUUACCAAAAUUGUCCUACAACCUGAACAUGGCAAGCAAAAUACUGUUCAUGAUAGUGUAGUAGUACUACUUAGUAAGUUUUCAUUAAGUUUAAAAUGUAAUGCAAUACCGUAUUUUAAUUAUGUAAAGAUUUCAACUUCCAAAUGAUAAGAAGUGUGUGCCAUUUUAAGACCCUCCGAGAUGGCAUGACCCAGUGGGAACCGUUGAUUGAAAGUGAUCAACGUUAUGUACUAUGUAACAGUAAACAGUAUCUAAUAUCAGUCACUUUCACAACCAACUGUGCCCAUCGGGGAGUGACUAUCCACAAUUAAGCAUGCUCAGCAGAUAAUGUCUUGUCACAUUGCUCAGCUGUGGCAUUAACUUAACUCUAUUUAUGCUUAUGGUAGUACUGAGAGGAAGUAA